Molecule: non-coding RNA, 1565 nt
Organism: Carica papaya (papaya)
Lineage: Eukaryota; Viridiplantae; Streptophyta; Magnoliopsida; Brassicales; Caricaceae
Source: RefSeq, a predicted model, not a curated record
UCAGCGUCCCGUUGCUCACGCGCCUAAGUCCCACCUUAGGCGUCGACUCGACCUUACUAAACCAUCUCCCUCAUAAACCCAAACGAAUACAUGCAGUCUUCAAAAUCCUCACCAUCACCGGCCGAUACUCCUAAUCUCGCUCACCGUCCAACUGUUUUCCACCACGUCUGCACCGCCGUCAACAAUGGAUGCAGUUGCGGGCACUCCGUCAUCAGGCCGUGACGACUGCUGGAGCGAGGACGCCACCUUCACGCUCAUCGAGUCAUGGGGCGACCGCUUCCUCCAGCUCAACCGCGGUAACUUACGGCAGAAGCAUUGGCAGGAGGUUGCAAACGCCGUCAACGACCGUCACGUUCAUGUCUCCGCCGCUGGUAAACCCCAGCCUUUCCGUACAGAUAUCCAGUGUAAAAACCGCAUUGAUACUCUUAAGAAGAAGUAUAAGAUCGAGAAGGCUAGGGUUUUAGAUUCCGGCGGUUCCUACACUAGUUCCUGGCUUUUUUUCCCCGGCCUCGAUGCUCUUCUCGGUCCGAACUUCCCGACCGCCGGGACUUCCCCGCCGGUUACUAUCCCCAAGUUCACUCCUCCGGCAUUGGCGAUCUCUCCGAUUCCGGUGGGACCUAGAUCGGCGACGCCGAGGCGGCCAGCGUCGUUGACGGCGGAUGACUCUAGCUUCCGCCGCAACUUCUCGGCUUUUGCCGCUGCUGCUGCCGCCGCUGCCGCUGCUGCUGAGGAAAAUUGCUCGGAGAGUUCAAGGUCGAGUGGCGGGAGCGGAAGUACGCGGAGGAGGAAGAGAACUAGGACGGUGGAGAGCGAGGUGGGGUACAGGGAGUUGGCUGACGCCAUAGAUAGGCUAGGGGAGAUAUACAAGAGAGUAGAGGAGAGGAAGCAGAAGCAGAUGGUCGAGUUGGAGAAGCAUAGGAUGCAAUUCGCCAAGGAUUUGGAGUGCCAGAGGAUGCAGCUCUUUGUGGAGACUCAAGUUCAGCUUCACAAGCUGAAGCGCGCCGCUGCUAAGCGGUCAUCUGCUGAAAAUUCGUCACCUGAGAGUGAAAAGGACAGUCCUUUCCCUUGUUUUGGAGCGUCAUGGAACUUGUUAGCGAUGAAUUGCUAUUCUUUGAGCUGCGAUCUUGAUGGCGGUCUGAUUUUCUAGACGAAUCUUCAUGGAAAGCUCUAAUAUGGCAGCAAAUUAGAAUUGGAUCUCGUUCCUCCCUGAAUAUGAGCUUUGUCUUCAUUGGGGUUCAUGAAGUAGCUACCUGAUCUGAAUGGCUGGACAAAAAUUACUGAUAGUUGGGAGGUGCUGUACUGCCAGGCAAUGUUCUUGACUUAAAGGCAUAGGUGGAAUAGAUCCAGAUAAGCGAACAUAUUAUGACUACAGGUCUUUUGUUUUUUAUCCUUUUUCAGGGAACAUAUUUGAAACUUGGAUGAAAAGUUGGCUCUUCUUGUAAUGCCUCCUUUUUUGAAGUGAUUUGUUUUUCGUUUUUAAGCUGUAAAUCACCAGGAGGGCUGAACCAGGAUUAAAAUUUGUCAAUAUCUUGCUAAAUUAUACAAAGUAUUUUCCUUUUUUGAUC